This 75-nucleotide antisense RNA is filed under the name Streptomyces wadayamensis. RNAcentral's name for it is "Aspks sRNA". It matches the Rfam family "ASpks TB sRNA". Lineage: Bacteria; Bacillati; Actinomycetota; Actinomycetes; Kitasatosporales; Streptomycetaceae. RNAcentral also lists the same sequence under 1 other name. The record is from RNAcentral.
CUUGAUGGAGCCGAGCAGCAGUGGCCGGUCCGCGGGCCGGUCCUGCCCGUACGUCGCCAGCAGGGCCUGGGCCUC